UCCCUCUAUUUAUUAAAAUCAAGUUUUUCAUUUGAACAAUGUAAAGAAACUAAUUUUCCAUCUCUAAUUAAUAUAAAAAAAUUUAUCUAGUUAAUUGGAACGAUCAAUAGCAUUUGUGCAUAAAAUCUAUCUUAUUUUUAUGCAUGUAACCACCUCCUUAAAUAUUAAUUACAUUAAAAAUACUCAUAAAAACCUACCAGACACCGACAUAUAUUAUAAGAAGAAUGGA
RNAcentral lists this long non-coding RNA (229 nucleotides) under Elaeis guineensis (African oil palm). RNAcentral describes it as "long non-coding RNA (EGUI_LNC016580)". Lineage: Eukaryota; Viridiplantae; Streptophyta; Magnoliopsida; Arecales; Arecaceae. The record is from RNAcentral.